AUUGAACGCUGGCGGCAUGCCUUACACAUGCAAGUCGAACGGCAGCACGGGAGCUUGCUCCUGGUGGCGAGUGGCGAACGGGUGAGUAAUGCAUCGGAACGUGCCCUGAAGUGGGGGAUAACGUAGCGAAAGUUACGCUAAUACCGCAUAUUCUGUGAGCAGGAAAGCAGGGGAUCUUCGGACCUUGCGCUUUUGGAGCGGCCGAUGUCGGAUUAGCUAGUUGGUGGGGUAAAGGCCCACCAAGGCGACGAUCCGUAGCGGGUCUGAGAGGAUGAUCCGCCACACUGGAACUGAGACACGGUCCAGACUCCUACGGGAGGCAGCAGUGGGGAAUUUUGGACAAUGGGCGCAAGCCUGAUCCAGCCAUGCCGCGUGAGUGAAGAAGGCCUGG
Molecule: ribosomal RNA, 391 nt
Filed under: uncultured bacterium
Lineage: Bacteria
Description: bacterial SSU rRNA
Rfam family: Bacterial small subunit ribosomal RNA
Source: RNAcentral